Molecule: ribosomal RNA, 253 nt
Filed under: uncultured bacterium
Lineage: Bacteria
Description: partial 16S ribosomal RNA
Rfam family: Bacterial small subunit ribosomal RNA
Source: RNAcentral
UACGUAGGGUGCAAGCGUUAAUCGGAAUUACUGGGCGUAAAGCGUGCGCAGGCGGUUAUGUAAGACAGAUGGGAAAUGCCCGGGCUUAACCUGGGAACUGCAUUUGUGACUGCAUGGCUAGAGUUUGGCAGAGGGGGGUAGAAUUCCACGUGUAGCAGUGAAAUGCGUAGAUAUGUGGAGGAACACCGAUGGCGAAGGCAGCCCCCUGGGUCGACACUGACGCUCAGGCACGAAAGCGUGGGGAGCAAACAGG